Molecule: long non-coding RNA, 103 nt
Organism: Papaver somniferum (opium poppy)
Lineage: Eukaryota; Viridiplantae; Streptophyta; Magnoliopsida; Ranunculales; Papaveraceae
Exons: 2
Source: RefSeq, a predicted model, not a curated record
UUGCCGGAUUAAACCCUGUUGCAAUUACCCUUCUCAAAGAGUUUCCCCCGACUAGCAAGCUUGAUCCAGCAGUCUAUGGAGACCACACCAGUUCAAUAACCAA